GAUGAACGCUGGCGGCGUGCUUAACACAUGCAAGUCGAACGAAGCACCUUAUUUUGAUUUUUUCGGAAUGAAAAAUUUGGUGACUGAGUGGCGGACGGGUGAGUAACGCGUGGGUAACCUGCCUCAUACAGGGGGAUAACAGUUAGAAAUGACUGCUAAUACCGCAUAAGACCACAGCACCGCAUGGUGCAGGGGUAAAAACUCCGGUGGUAUGAGAUGGACCCGCGUCUGAUUAGGUAGUUGGUGGGGUAACGGCCUACCAAGCCGACGAUCAGUAGCCGACCUGAGAGGGUGACCGGCCACAUUGGGACUGAGACACGGCCCAAACUCCUACGGGAGGCAGCAGUGGGGAAUAUUGCACAAUGGGGGAAACCCUGAUGCAGCGACGCCGCGUGAGCGAUGAAGUAUUUCGGUAUGUAAAGCUCUAUCAGCAGGGAAGAAAAUGACG
RNAcentral lists this ribosomal RNA (448 nucleotides) under uncultured bacterium. RNAcentral describes it as "bacterial SSU rRNA". It matches the Rfam family "Bacterial small subunit ribosomal RNA", at positions 28 to 456 of the family's 1533-position model. The record is from RNAcentral.